AGAGUUUGAUCCUGGCUCAGGAUGAACGCUGGCGGUAUGCUUAACACGUGCAAGUCGGACGGGAAGUGGUGUUUCCAGUGGCAGACGGGUGAGUAACGCGUAAGAACCUGCCCUUGGGAGGGGAACAAUAGCUGGAAAUGACUGCUAAUACCCCAUAGGCUGAGGAGAAAAAGGGGGAAUCUGCCCAAGGAGGGGCUCGCGUCUGAUUAGUUAGUUGGUGAGGCAAUGGCUUACCAAGGCGACGAUCAGUAGCUGGUCUGAGAGGGUGAUCAACCACGCUGGGACUGAGACAUGGCCCAGACUCCUACGGGAGGAAGCAGUGGGGAAUUUUCUGCAAUGGGCGACAGCCUGAUGGAGCAAUGCCGCGUGAAGGCAAAAGGCCCACGAGUCAUGAACUUCUUUUCUCGGAGAAGAAAAAUGACGGUCUCUGAGGAAUAAGCAUCAGCUAAAUCUGUGCCAGCAGCCGCGGUAAU
RNAcentral lists this ribosomal RNA (473 nucleotides) under uncultured bacterium. RNAcentral's name for it is "bacterial SSU rRNA". It matches the Rfam family "Bacterial small subunit ribosomal RNA", at positions 8 to 524 of the family's 1533-position model. The record is from RNAcentral.